GGGUGAUUAACUCAGCGGUAGAGUGCUUCGUUCACAUCGAAGAAGUCAUUGGUUCAAAUCCAAUAUCACCCA
This 72-nucleotide transfer RNA is filed under the name Candidatus Falkowiibacteriota bacterium. RNAcentral describes it as "tRNA-Val". It matches the Rfam family "tRNA". Rfam says of the family: Transfer RNA (tRNA) molecules are approximately 80 nucleotides in length. Their secondary structure includes four short double-helical elements and three loops (D, anti-codon, and T loops). The record is from RNAcentral. Lineage: Bacteria; Candidatus Falkowiibacteriota.